AUUGAACGCUGGCGGCAGGCUUAACACAUGCAAGUCGAGCGAGCGGCGGACGGGUGAGUAAUGUCUGGGACACUGCCUGAUGGAGGGGGAUAACUACUGGAAACGGUAGCUAAUACCGCAUACCAUCAGAUGUGCCCAUGUGGGAUUAGCUAGUAGGUGGGGUAAUGGCUCACCUAGGCGACGAUCCCUAGCUGGUCUGGGAGGAUGACCAGCCACACUGGAACUGAGACCCGGUCCAGACUCCGACGGGAGGCAGAAGUGGGGAUUAGUGCACAAUGGGCGCAAGCCUGAUGCAGCCAUGCCGCGUGUGGGAAGAAGGUCUUCGGGUUGGAAAGCACUUUCAGCGAGGAGGCGUUACUCGCAGAAGAAGCACCGGCUAACGCCGUGCCAGCAGCCGCGUAUC
This 403-nucleotide ribosomal RNA is filed under the name uncultured bacterium. RNAcentral's name for it is "partial 16S ribosomal RNA". It matches the Rfam family "Bacterial small subunit ribosomal RNA", at positions 30 to 523 of the family's 1533-position model. The record is from RNAcentral.